Molecule: long non-coding RNA, 1814 nt
Filed under: Equus caballus (horse)
Lineage: Eukaryota; Metazoa; Chordata; Mammalia; Perissodactyla; Equidae
Description: lncRNA (ENSECAG00000052125.1)
Source: RNAcentral
CCCAUCAAAUAGUAUGAAGAAAUAUAUUAAUAGUCCAGACCAGAAGGAAAAUGAAAAGCACCUAGAAAUCAAUCCUGAAGGCACACAAAUUCACAAUGUAAACGACAGAGAAUUCAAAAUAGCUAACAUUAAAAAACUCAACGAGUUACAAGAAAAUUCAGAUAGUUCAAUUAAAUCAGGAAUAAAUUUAAUAAACAGAGGGAAUACUUCACAAAAGAGAUUGACCCUAUAAAGAGAAACCAAUCAGAAAUAUUGGAGAUGAAAAACACAAUGAGAUAAAGAAAAAUCUGGAUACCCUGAAUUACAGAGCUGACAUUAUGGAAGACGGAAUUAGCAAUCUGGAGGACCGAAAUAUAGAAAGGCUUCAGAUGGAGGAGGAGAGAGAAUUAAGACUAAAAAGAAACGAAGAAAUUCUCUGAGAAAUAUCUGAUUAAAUUAGGAAAUGCAACAUAAAAACUAUGGGUAUUAUAGAGGGAGAAGGGAGGGAGAAAGGAGCAGAAAGUCUGUUCAAACCUGGGAAAGGAGCUGGAAUUACAAGUAAAAGACGCUAACAGAACUUCUGAUUACAUCAAUGUAAAAAGACCUACUCCAAGGCAUAGAGUAGUAAAACUGGCAAAAGUCAGUGACAAAGAAGAAAUAUUUUUAAAGGCAGCAAGGCAGAAGAAAAUAACUUACAAAGACCAUAUCAAACUUUCAGGAGAUUUCUCAGCAGAAUCUUUACAGGAUAUGAGAAGGUAGAAUGAGAUAUUCAAAAUUCUGAAAGACAAAAACCUUCAGCCAAGAAUACUCUAUCCAGGGAAAAAUAUCCUACAGAUACGGUGGAGAAAUAAAAACUUUCCCACAUAAACAAAAGCUGAGGUAGUUCAUCGCCACAAGACACCCCAAACAGGAAAUGCUCAAGAAGACCUUCAUACCUGAAAAAGAACAAAAAGAGUUCACAAAGCCUUGAGCAAGGAGAUAAAUAGGCAGCCAAAGUCAGAAAAUUGCAGCUCUCUACCAGAACAGGUUAGCAAAAACUUAAUUAUGACAUUAAAGAUAAAGGGAAGGAAAACAUCAAAAAUAACUAUAAUCUUGUGAUUUUAACCACAAAAUCACAACACAAAACAGAAUAUGUUAUGACCAACAAAUCAGAGGAAGAGGAAAGGGAUGGAACUGGCUUAGACCAAGGAAAUAAGAGGCUAUCAGAAAAUGGUAUAUCUCAUCUACGAGAUUUUUUAUACAAACCUGAUGGUAACCACUAAACAAAUAAUCAGAACAGAGACACAAAUGAUACAAAAAAAAGAAAACUGAGGGGCUGUCCCAGUGCCAUAAUGGUUAAGUUCGCAUGCUCUGCUUCAGCCACCCAGGGUUUGCAGCUUCAGGUCCCAGGCACAGACCUAUGCAUCUCUCAUCAAGCCCUGCUGUGCUGGCAUCCCACAUACAAAAAACAGAGGAAGAUUGCCACAGAUGUUAGCUCAGCAACAAUCUUCCUCAAGCUAAAAGAGAGCAAGAUUGCUUACAGAUGUUAGCUCAGGGCCAGUCUUCCUCACACACAAAAAAGAGAAAACUGAGAAAACCAUCAUAGUGAACUACCAAACUGAACUGGCAGUCCAAAAUACACAAGAUGAGAAACAAGGAAAAUACAGAACUGGAAAACAAGUGAUAAAAUGGCAGCAUUAAGCCCUUAUAUAAAAAUAAUCACUCUAAAUGUAAAUGGAUUGAAUUCUCCAAUCAAAAGACAGAGUGGUGGGAUGGAUUGAAAAACAAGACUCAUCAAUAUGCUGCCUCCAGGAAACACUCUUAGCUCUAAAGACAAACACAGGCUCAGAGUGAAG